UAUAUGUAUAUCCUCAAUAAUCAACGAUAUCUAAAGCAUUUUUUUUCUCUCUUUCUAGCAAAUUCUAUUCUUUGUCCAUCCCAUCCUUAGUCUUGCUCUUAUAUGACUUUCAAUCAGUCAACAACGUCAAGAGAUCGAUAUGAAUAGCACGUUUGGAUUUUCAUCGUAAAGGUGAUUAGCGACCGACGUGCCAUGAGUUGUUCUAGCUACGAAAAAGCAUGCUGCAGCUUGAUCUAGAGUUGCAACUAGUACUCCUAUACGUAGACUAUCCAUCCCUUUGAAAAGUUGUGGUAUUUACAACUAUAUACUUAUGUUGAAGCAUGUAAUUUUAAAUUGACUAACAGAUUGAUUUUUCAUCUUUUAUUGAUUAUAACAAUAUAAUUAUAAGCAAUUUAUGAGAUUAACUAUUGGAAUUCA
Long non-coding RNA from Erigeron canadensis, 417 nucleotides. RefSeq lists it as uncharacterized. The record is from RefSeq and is a predicted model, not a curated record. NCBI's taxonomy places the organism in Eukaryota, Viridiplantae, Streptophyta, Magnoliopsida, Asterales, Asteraceae. The transcript has 2 exons.